CCGUGCUAGGUGGGGAGGUAGCGGUGCCCUGUACUCGCAAUCCGCUGUAGCGAGACUGAAUCCCUUCCCGAGGCCUGGCCAUUGCAGGGUCUGACUUAAGUAAGUAGUGUUGACAUUCAGGUCCUGCGCAACGGAGCCCCAUGAACCCUGUCAGGUCCGGAAGGAAGCAGCAGUAAGUGGGUUUCCUCCGUGUGCCGCAGGAGUGCCUGGAUCGAGCCAACUGCUUGAGUAACGCUUGUGAUGGCCUUGCCGACGGAAGGUGCACGG
This 267-nucleotide signal recognition particle RNA is filed under the name Exobacillus caeni. Its description in RNAcentral is "Pseudalkalibacillus caeni Bacterial large signal recognition particle RNA". It matches the Rfam family "Bacterial large signal recognition particle RNA". From Rfam's summary of the family: The signal recognition particle (SRP) is a universally conserved ribonucleoprotein involved in the co-translational targeting of proteins to membranes. Lineage: Bacteria; Bacillati; Bacillota; Bacilli; Caryophanales; Guptibacillaceae. The record is from Rfam by way of RNAcentral.